AGCCUAUUGGCUUAGUUGGUUAGAGCAUUGUGCUAGUAAUGCAAAGGUCGCAGGUUUAAGACUUGCAUGAACCA
RNAcentral lists this transfer RNA (74 nucleotides) under Vitis vinifera (wine grape). It matches the Rfam family "tRNA". From Rfam's summary of the family: Transfer RNA (tRNA) molecules are approximately 80 nucleotides in length. Their secondary structure includes four short double-helical elements and three loops (D, anti-codon, and T loops). Further hydrogen bonds mediate the characteristic L-shaped molecular structure. tRNAs have two regions of fundamental functional importance: the anti-codon, which is responsible for specific mRNA codon recognition, and the 3' end, to which the tRNAs corresponding amino acid is attached (by aminoacyl-tRNA synthetases). tRNAs cope with the degeneracy of the genetic code in two manners: having more than one tRNA (with a specific anti-codon) for a particular amino acid; and 'wobble' base-pairing, i.e. permitting non-standard base-pairing at the 3rd anti-codon position. Lineage: Eukaryota; Viridiplantae; Streptophyta; Magnoliopsida; Vitales; Vitaceae. The record is from Rfam by way of RNAcentral.